CCCUUGGGGGGACUGCGGAGACAUUA
RNAcentral lists this ribosomal RNA (26 nucleotides) under Trametes versicolor. Its description in RNAcentral is "partial 18S ribosomal RNA". The record is from RNAcentral. Lineage: Eukaryota; Fungi; Basidiomycota; Agaricomycetes; Polyporales; Polyporaceae.